RNAcentral lists this ribosomal RNA (460 nucleotides) under uncultured bacterium. Its description in RNAcentral is "partial 16S ribosomal RNA". It matches the Rfam family "Bacterial small subunit ribosomal RNA", at positions 338 to 795 of the family's 1533-position model. The record is from RNAcentral.
CCUACGGGUGGCAGCAGUGAGGAAUAUUGGUCAAUGGACGAGAGUCUGAACCAGCCAAGUAGCGUGAAGGAUGACUGCCCUAUGGGUUGUAAACUUCUUUUAUAUGGGAAUAAAAUGUUCCACGUGUGGGAUUUUGUAUGUACCAUAUGAAUAAGGAUCGGCUAACUCCGUGCCAGCAGCCGCGGUAAUACGGAGGAUCCGAGCGUUAUCCGGAUUUAUUGGGUUUAAAGGGAGCGUAGGUGGAUUGUUAAGUCAGUUGUGAAAGUUUGCGGCUCAACCGUAAAAUUGCAGUUGAAACUGGCAGUCUUGAGUACAGUAGAGGUGGGCGGAAUUCGUGGUGUAGCGGUGAAAUGCUUAGAUAUCACGAAGAACUCCGAUUGCGAAGGCAGUUCACUGGACUGCAACUGACACUGAGGCUCGAAAGUGUGGGUAUCAAACAGGAUUAGAUACCCUUGUAUUC